CAGCCGCCGCGGUAAUACAGAGGGUGCGAGCUUUAAUCGGAUUUACUGGGCGUAAAGCGUGCGUAGGCGGCUUCUUAAGUCGGAUGUGAAAUCCCUGAGCUUAACUUAGGAAUUGCAUUCGAUACUGGGAAGCUAGAGUAUGGGAGAGGAUGGUAGAAUUCCAGGUGUAGCGGUGAAAUGCGUAGAGAUCUGGAGGAAUACCGAUGGCGAAGGCAGCCAUCUGGCCUAAUACUGACGCUGAGGUACGAAAGCAUGGGGAGCAAACAGGAUUAGAUACCCCCGUAGUCCCUGUCUCUUAUAC
RNAcentral lists this ribosomal RNA (301 nucleotides) under uncultured bacterium. RNAcentral's name for it is "partial 16S ribosomal RNA". It matches the Rfam family "Bacterial small subunit ribosomal RNA", at positions 509 to 807 of the family's 1533-position model. The record is from RNAcentral.